AACGACGGUAUACAGAGCUAGUUCACAACAACGACACCAUACAGAGCUAGUUCACAACAACGACACCAAACAGAGCUAGUUCACAACUACGACGGCACAUCAACGCCUGUGUCAUCCGUGUUCUAUGUUUGGUUUAUGUUAAAAACAUUUAUUGCGAGAUAGAAGGCCAUACAUAUUUAACUUGUACAACGAUAUGCAUAUCUACCGUAUAACCUGAAAUAGAUCAGCUUGAACUGUUUGAAGAGACUAUGUAUACUAGUACUACUAACAGCAGUAGUACAGUAGUACAAUAUAAUUACUGUAGGACUAACAGUGAGCAGCAGUACUGUAGGACUAACAGUGAACAGCAGUACACACACCCAGCAGUACACACACCCAAACCUUGCAUGUGUAUUUGCGUGUGCGUUGCGUGCAGGAAAGGAUAACCAAACGCAUGCAGGAGUGAUGGAGGGAAAGAGUACACAGAAUGGAACCCUGCGGAUCUUUCCUAAGGGAGAGUCUGAUUGGGUUGAUUAAACAGGUUUAGACUACAGGUCUCUGUUAGGACCAUUGGACUGCUACGCCAGAAAACCCCCAGGGGGUUUAUACUAGAGGAGGAUCGUUGGGGCGUGUCUACUGUAUGUGUGUGUGUCUGCAGAGAAGGGGUCCAUUCAUCCGUCCUAAGGAGAGGACGAAGUGGUCUGAACGUGGCUGUACUCUUUGGAGACAUUCUGGAACUGCGAGGUUAUUCUGGACCUGAGAGGGGAUUCUAGAACUGAGGGGAUUCCAGAACUGAGAGGGGAUUCCAGAACUGAGAGGUUAUUCUGGACCUGAGAGGGGAUUCCAGAACUGAGAGGUUAUUCUGGACCUGAGAGGAGAUUCUAGAACUGAGGGGAUUCCAGAACUGAGAUUAAAACACAUUGUUCGAACAACUAUCUCAAAACUCACAGAGACAGAACAAGAAUACAGCUAUCCCUCCAUCUGACAUAUAGGACAGUUAAAAAGGAUAAGGAUGCAUCACCCAGUUCUUUGUGCCCUCGCCACAUACUUUCUCUCUCACGCUGUCCAUUUAGUGCAGUGGUGAUGCUGCAGCCUUUUCCUCUCCUUUACCUUCCUUCUAUUCUUCUCCUCCCUAGCUGGAAGUCAUGCUCUGUCUCUCUCUGCCCAUAGUGCAGCCCCUCUCUACCGUCUGAGCUUCAGGUUUACAGACCACACAGCCUGAAUGUCAAUGAUUGCUAGGAAGGAAAUGAAGGAUGCCGUGUUGGCAUUACGUCCAAGAGCGCAGCGCUCAAAUUCCUCCCCCUUUUCCUCCCACUUUUACAAAGGAGUAUUUUCUUUCAUCCCUUCUCUGCGUUGUGCAUCCAUCCAUAUAUCCAGACCAACCAUCCAUGUUACAAGUACAAUAGGAUGAUGGAUAGUGUGUGUGUGAAUGUCUGAGUGUGUACGUACAGGAGAGGAUAGUGGACUCUGGAUCCACUAAGACUGUGAAUUGAAUACUGAUGCUAACCCAUCCUUCUUUCUCACACUCCUGGUACCCUGUAUAGAAUGGACAGUGGAUCCGUUGGUUCUGCGUUCUGUUGCUGUGUUCUAAUGUUCUAAGACUCCUUUCACCACACGAUUCCGGAACGUUUUCCUAACUGCUCCCGGCACUGAGAGUAGGGCUGUGCCUCUGUGGCUCUCAAUCAGAAGGAGAAAACACAAAGCCUGGUGCUAUUGAGCUAGAGCGCCCCUUAUGGACGAAGACAGGGAGAACCCCCUGUUCAAACCUUACUCUGUCCUUCCAGCAACAUGGACAAAGACAGGGAGAACCCCCCUGUUCAAAACUUACUCUGUCCUUCCAGCAACAUGGACAAAGACWGGGAGAACCCCCCUGUUCAAAACUUACUCUGUCCKUCCAGCAACAUGGACAAAGACKGGGAGAACCCCCCUGUUCAAAACUUACUCUGUCCRUCCAGCAACAUGGACAAAGACAGGGAGAACCCCCCUGUUCAAACUCUGCUCUGUCCCUCCAGCAACAACACCGAGACAGAACGACUCCGGAUGACCGACUAUCUGGGCACUCUUUUUCUUACGUCGUUCCUUCAGGAAAAACCAAACAACAACUUAUAAAGACGUAAGAAGAAGAAGAAAAAUGAAAAAAGUAAAUUAUAACGUUACUAAUCCAUAGUCAAGUGACACUUGUUUAAAAUAUUUAGUGAAUGGAACUAUAUUCAAAACAACUACGAAGAAACUCAGUGUUGGUUUGCCUUGUAUUCUGGAGCCUCUGUGUUUUCAGCACAGAAAUAGAAUGACUAGAAUGGGAUUCCCUAUUCAAGUCAAUGAGGCCAUAAUGUCAAACUGCCAUUGUCCGAGGUUCUAUGCACCUUCUGCUCAUUCUAAUUCUAUGGUUUUCAGCUACCUUGGUAUUACACUCCCUUAGAGGUAUGCAGAGUUUUUACUCUUUCUGCAGUACUGUGGUUAUUACGGUAAUACUGUAUACUAUGGUUACUAUUGUCAUAUACUGUGCUUAUUACGGUAAUACUGUAUACUAUGGUUACAAGUGUCAUAAACUGUGGUUAUUACGGUAAUACUGUAUACUGUGGUUACUACUAUCAUCUACUGUGCUAAUUACAGUUAUUACGGUAA
Non-coding RNA from Salvelinus sp. IW2-2015, 2604 nucleotides. Lineage: Eukaryota; Metazoa; Chordata; Actinopteri; Salmoniformes; Salmonidae. The record is from RefSeq and is a predicted model, not a curated record.